GCAAUGCCGCGUGAGUGAAGAAGGCCUUCGGGUUGUAAAGCUCUUUUGUCAGGGAAGAAAAGGGUGCGGCUAAUAUCUGCGCCUCAUGACGGUACCUGAAGAAUAAGCACCGGCUAACUACGUGCCAGCAGCCGCGGUAAUACGUAGGGUGCAAGCGUUAAUCGGAAUUACUGGGCGUAAAGCGUGCGCAGGCGGUUUUGUAAGACUGUCGUGAAAUCCCCGGGCUCAACCUGGGAAUGGCGAUGGUGACUGCAAGGCUAGAGUUUGGCAGAGGGGGGUAGAAUUCCACGUGUAGCAGUGAAAUGCGUAGAUAUGUGGAGGAACACCGAUGGCGAAGGCAGCCCCCUGGGUCAAAACUGACGCUCAUGCACGAAAGCGUGGGGAGCAAACAGGAUUAGAUACCCUGGUAGUCCACGCCCUAAACGAUGUCUACUAGUUGUCGGGUCUUAAUUGACUUGGUAACGCAGCUAACGCGUGAAGUAGACCGCCUGGGGAGUACGGUCGCAAGAUUAAAACUCAAAGGAAUUGACGGGGACCCGCACAAGCGGUGGAUGAUGUGGAUUAAUUCGAUGCAACGCGAAAAACCUUACCUACCCUUGACAUGGAUGGAAUCCCUGAGAGAUUG
RNAcentral lists this ribosomal RNA (625 nucleotides) under Oxalobacteraceae bacterium Se2Ps_2414. RNAcentral describes it as "bacterial SSU rRNA". It matches the Rfam family "Bacterial small subunit ribosomal RNA", at positions 391 to 1009 of the family's 1533-position model. Lineage: Bacteria; Pseudomonadati; Pseudomonadota; Betaproteobacteria; Burkholderiales; Oxalobacteraceae. The record is from RNAcentral.